Molecule: ribosomal RNA, 253 nt
Filed under: uncultured bacterium
Lineage: Bacteria
Description: partial 16S ribosomal RNA
Rfam family: Bacterial small subunit ribosomal RNA
Source: RNAcentral
UACGGAGGGUGCAAGCGUUGUUCGGAAUCACUGGGCGUAAAGGGCGUGUAGGCGGUCUGCUAAGUCUGAUGUGAAAUCCCCUCGCUCAACGAGGGAACUGCGUCGGAUACUGGCAGACUCGAGUACCGGAGAGGAUAGUGGAAUUCCCAGUGUAGUGGUGAAAUACGUAGAGAUUGGGAAGAACACCAGUGGCGAAGGCGGCUAUCUGGACGGUUUCUGACGCUAAGACGCGAAAGCUAGGGGAGCAAACGGG